Molecule: long non-coding RNA, 509 nt
Organism: Fukomys damarensis (Damara mole-rat)
Lineage: Eukaryota; Metazoa; Chordata; Mammalia; Rodentia; Bathyergidae
Exons: 5
Source: RefSeq, a predicted model, not a curated record
GAGCACAGAGACUAGUAUUGUCAUGAAACAGGGUCCAAAGAUGUUCCCAAGGCAGAGAUGUAGAACCUAAACCUACCCUACCGGAGAAAUCAGUUGCAGGUUACACCCACUUACCCAGCCAGCUGCUCAUGCCCAGUCUCUUGCAUCACACUCGUAGAAAAAUAAUGGCCCAUUUAAUAGGAAAGUGUCUCAUCGUCUGCCUCUUAAUUGCUCCCCUCCAUCUUUGCUAAUGGCCCGGUUCAUGAAGUCAACCCCAUGGAGACUACUGAAGUUUUUGCAGAAAACCACCUGUAGCUACAAGGGAUGAUAAAAAUGAAAACAUCUGGUCAAGAGGAAUCAUAUCAAGCAAGAUCAGCACAGGCAGACCAUGAUCAUCACCUAGAUCAACACGGCAUCAAGUAGUAGUCUAAUUGGACAGCUCCUUAUUACAGCCUUGGUUAUACUGUCUCCUGCCACCCCCACGCCUGCUGUUUCCAAACUAAAAAGCAAAGGCCUUCAGAGUUCUCCCA